Molecule: non-coding RNA, 678 nt
Organism: Taeniopygia guttata (zebra finch)
Lineage: Eukaryota; Metazoa; Chordata; Aves; Passeriformes; Estrildidae
Source: RefSeq, a predicted model, not a curated record
CGAGUUCCUCCUCCUGACUCAGCCCUGUUUCGUCACCAGCUCCGCCUGCCUCCUCAGGUGUCUCCCCGCCUCCCAAGGGACCCGGGAGGGUCACUUCCUGGUCUGCCUCACUCCGCGGAACCGCUGAGCUGUUAACAUCUGCUGCUCGGGAGCAGACUUCCGUUCCGGGCGCGGCCGCAACCCCGCUCCGUCUCGCGCCGGCCGGCCCCGCGCUGCCCAGCUCCGUACCGCCCUCCAAACGAGCGACAACAUCUCUGACAGAGGGGCUGACUGGGGCUUUCUGCCCGCGCACUGGCCGCAUAUUACAAACAUUAAAGAAUUUUUCAACCCGCGAUGGCUUUCGCGUUUCUAUUUGUUCUGCUGUAGACUGUUCGAAUGCUCGAAUGGCAGCUUCCGCUGCCUCUUUCUCCGCGGCCAUGCUUUGUAAGCUCUCUUUGAGAGAAUAUGAAAGAGCAGCCGCACUGAAGCCUGUAAAUCUCCAUCCAUGGUGAACUUUCACCCUCUCUUUCUGCACGCAGCUUACCUCACCUCCGCGGGUUGCUUCGCUCUCGCUUUUCUUCGGCAAGGCAGCACCCCGCUCCAGCUCUCCGGCCCCGGCCACGUCCACACCCGCCGUUCAGGUACCUUGUGAACACCGAGGUCUUCCCACUGCUCCAACGGACUCUCGCAAACAAACAA